Fukomys damarensis (Damara mole-rat) is the source of this 1860-nucleotide long non-coding RNA. RefSeq lists it as uncharacterized. Lineage: Eukaryota; Metazoa; Chordata; Mammalia; Rodentia; Bathyergidae. The record is from RefSeq and is a predicted model, not a curated record. The transcript has 3 exons.
UCCUAGGCUGCUGAUCCUGCUGAAUGUGUCAGGCGAGAGCCAGGUGCGAAUUCCGUGACCGAGGCGCAAAGGAAGUUGAACUUGCUUCCCCAACUGUUUAAUGGAAACCUGACUUGAUGCUCCAGGAAGCCCAGAAGGCUUCAGAGAAUCCGGUCUUGGAGAGCCGUAACGGAUGAUGGUAUUUCCACGGUAGAAUUCCCCAGCACAGCACCUGACCCGUGCGUGCUCAGUGAAAGGUGAGGAAACUGAGGCUUGAAGACAUUAGGUCCAAGUUCACAAUGCCCUUAAUGUGAAGAGUGCAGAGUGGUACAAGAAUGUUCGUGGAACUUUAUUCCUCAUGGCCCCAAACUGAGUAGAGCCCAGCUGUCUGUAGCACCAGGAGAAUGGUUUAAGUGAAUUGUGGGCUAUUCAUGCAAUAGAAUGCUCCGGGGAAGGGGAUUUAGCUCAGUGGCACUGCACCUGCUUGUAAGUGCCAAGUUCCUGAGUUUGAUCCCCGGUACCACCAAAAAAAAACCAAAACAGUGCUCCAGACCAACAAAAAACACAGUCACUGCAACAAACAGCAGUGUGGACAACAGACAUGAUGGUGACUGAAAGAAGCCAUCCAUCAAACACUGCCCGACUGUGUGAAGUUUGCUCACGAGUAAAACCCACUGUGAUGGUCGCAGUCCGAAUAAGAGUUCCUACACAGGCCAGGUGGGGUGGGCCACCGGACUGGGAUCGUGUUGUGAAGGGGCUGCUGGGGGUGCCGGAAGUGUGUCCUACUUUGAUCUAAGUGGCUAGUGGUCACAGGGUGUGUGUGUACAUGUACGUGUGUAAAAACUCAUCCUCUGCACCCGUAGCUUUUUCCCAAUAAGGAAGUAAGUCAACAUAAUAUAUAUGUAUGGAUAUAUAAUCUAUGUAUGCAUCAACUUGGAAGACUUAGGGCCAAAUCAACUCUGGCUUUGUAUCCUGGCAGGAAGUGGGGACGGCAGGCAGACCCCGCCCACCCCCCUUUCUUUGGAGGGAGAAGCCCUGAGUCUGCACAAUGUGCGGAUUGCACUUUUAAUUGCUACCCCCGCUUGAUCUGCAUCCUGUCUUCCCCAGCUCUAACCCUGGGGAAGGUGCUGACCAAGCCUGUGCCCCCUCUGCCCCAGGCAGGGAGGGGAGUGGGAGCCAGGAAGUGAAGGAAGGGGAGAAGGAAGAGGGAGGAGAAAAGAGAGGCUGGCAAGGGGUGAGUAGGGUACAUUUCCAGGAAGCCUCCAGGGGUGCCGAUUUGGGUGAGGUCAGUUUAAUGAGAACUUUUAGGCCCCCAGGGAGGAGGCCCAGGGCUGGCAGGCUCCUGGGAGCCUGAGGGAGCAGAGUCCUUUCUGUGCAUUUUGAUGCAUCAUGAAGCACAUUCGCCCUGAGCGCUCAAUGAUAUGCCAGCACAUGUCCCACAGGGCAGGGCUGGAGCCGGCUUACGGGCAGAGCUCCCGCACUCGGACUCCUGCUGGCUGGCGUGUCCGGACCCAGCUGCCCCCACAGAUUCGGGGGGGCAGAGCCAGUGCCCCGCCCCAGGCUCAGGCCUGGUGCAGGUGCCUUCAAGCCCGGAGCUCACCCCGGCCUCCCCUCCCUCCUGCUCUGCUCUACCCAUCCAUCCACCCACCAUCUUUUCUUCAUCUCUGUAUUUCUGACCUCCUCCCUCUCUCUCUGCUCCACCCUGGGCUCUGUUUUCUCCACAGUCUGUGCCUGUCUCUCCACCUCCAUCCCCCCUUCCCCUGCUGCCCCUCUUUCCCUCCCCACCCUAUUCCUGGGCUUGUGCUUCCUCUCCAGCCCAAUAUAAAUAAUAGAAAUUAAUUUGUCAGCCAGGACACGCGGCCCAGCCGGCGCAGCAGUGAG